Molecule: ribosomal RNA, 564 nt
Filed under: uncultured vent archaeon
Lineage: Archaea
Description: partial 16S ribosomal RNA
Rfam family: Archaeal small subunit ribosomal RNA (bases 255-564)
Source: RNAcentral
UAACUAGGAGUGACAUGUCAGAGCCGCGGAAGGACACAUCCCCGCCUAAUAGGCUGCCGGACAAAAGGACGGCGGAAACCGGGGGGGGGGGAACCCUCCCCAGAGGGUAGGCCCGGCGCGUGACCAGACGCGAGAGGGCGUUUAUCGCGCGCAGUGCUCAAGAAGCUCGCGGGGAUAAGGGGCGAGGGGGCAAGGCCGGUGGCAGCCGCCGCGGUGGAAUACCGGACGUGCCCGAGGUGGUGGCGCACCUGAAGUAAUUGGGCCGUCAAGCGGUCCGGUAGCCGGGUCUCAGGUAAGUCCCUGGCUGCGAAUUCCCAGCGGUCUCAAACGCGUCGGGGACCCUGCYGGGGAUACUAGCAAGCCUAGGGACCGGGAGAGGCCGGGGGUACUCCCGGGGUAGGGGUGAAAUCCUAUAGAUCCCAGGAGGACCGCCAGUGGCGAAGGCGCCCGGCUGGAACGGGUCCGACGGUGAGGGACGAAGGCCAGGGGAGCGAACCGGAUUAGAUAGCCCGGGUAGUCCCGGCAUGGUAAAGGAUUGUCGGGCCCCACGGGGGUNUGUGAGGU